AGCAAUACUGUGGGUGGCGAGUGGCGGACGGGUGAGUAAUGCAUCGGGACCUACCCAGACGUGGGGGAUAACGUAGGGAAACUUACGCUAAUACCGCAUACGUCCUACGGGAGAAAGCAGGGGAUCUUCGGACCUUGCGCGGUUGGACGGACCGAUGUGCGAUUAGCUAGUUGGUAAGGUAAUGGCUUACCAAGGCGACGAUCGCUAGCUGGUCUGAGAGGAUGAUCAGCCACACUGGGACUGAGACACGGCCCAGACUCCUACGGGAGGCAGCAGUGGGGAAUAUUGGACAAUGGGCGCAAGCCUGAUCCAGCAAUGCCGCGUGUGUGAAGAAGGCCCUCGGGUUGUAAAGCACUUUUAUCAGGAACGAAAUACCACGGGCUAAUACCCUAUGGGGCUGACGGUACCUGAGGAAUAAGCACCGGCUAACUUCGUGCCAGCAGCCGCGGUAAUACGAAGGGUGCAAGCGUUAAUCGGAAUUACUGGGCGUAAAGGGUGCGUAGGCGGUUAGUUAAGUCUGUUGUGAAAUCCCCGGGCUCAACCUGGGAAUGGCAAUGGAAACUGGCUAGCUAGAGUGUGUCAGA
RNAcentral lists this ribosomal RNA (584 nucleotides) under uncultured bacterium. RNAcentral describes it as "bacterial SSU rRNA". It matches the Rfam family "Bacterial small subunit ribosomal RNA", at positions 75 to 655 of the family's 1533-position model. The record is from RNAcentral.